RNAcentral lists this long non-coding RNA (1923 nucleotides) under Gossypium barbadense (sea-island cotton). Its description in RNAcentral is "long non-coding RNA (GBAR_LNC013455)". Lineage: Eukaryota; Viridiplantae; Streptophyta; Magnoliopsida; Malvales; Malvaceae. The record is from RNAcentral.
CCAUCUUCUUUACUGCAUGUGUCAGAUAGUUUGAUGUUUGAGCCUCACCUAGUUUCCCAAAUCCCAUUAGACCUUACUCAACCUUUUCUUGACUCAUACUUUCUUACUUUAGUUGACAACCAGACCCCGCUCCCACCUAUCGCAUCAAUAUCACGUACCCAACCCACUCAACAGCCUUUUGUCCCAUCACCAAGUCACAUCGUCCCAUCUUUUUCCCAUAUCCCUCAUAAUACUACUAACCCAUUUGCUUGUUCAGAUGAUCAUGCUUCUAGCCAACCAUCUUCUUUACUGCAUGUGUCAGAUAGUUUGAUGUUUGAGCCUCACCUAGUUCGUCUUCUUUACCCAUUGUAUCUCCGCAUGGUUCCUGAGCUAGUUCGCCAUACUACACGACCCUCUAAGCCACCCACAUGGUUACGAGAUUAUGUUUGCUGCUCUUACUCGUCUUCUUCCUCUCCACUUGAGGUAGGUCAGUAUCCUCUUUCAUUUUCUUUCACUUCUCAUCAUUUACCUUGUCACACUCAGUUUUUUGUUGCUUCUACUUCUCAUAUUCCUGAACCAAAAAAUUAUAUUGAUACUCUUAAAGAUGAGAGAUGGGUUGCAGCUAAGCAACAAGAGAUUCAGGCAUUAGAAUCAAAUUUCACUUGGGAUGUAGGUCCUUUGCCCCUUGGUAAAACACCUAUUGGUUGCAAAUGGGUCUUGAAGGUGAAAUAUAAUUCUGAUGGCAUGGUUGAACGUUCAAAGCUCAUCUUAUUGGACAAGGGUUUACUAACAGGAGGGUGUUGCCUAUCAUGAAACUUUUUCUCCGGUUGCUAAACUAGUUACGGUACGAACUGUUAUUGCUCUUGCUGCUCAACAAGGCUGACCACAGUUUCAGAUGGAUGUUUAUAAUGUUUUUUUACAAGGUGAUGUGUUUGAAGAAGUUUACAUGAUGCUUCCAAUUGGUUUUUGCACUCAGGGGGAGACUUGGGUUUGUCGACUGCGAAAAUCUCUUUAUGGAUUGAAACAAGCCUCAAGACAAUGGAAUAUGAAGCUCACGGAAGCUAUUCUACUCAAUGGAUAUUCAUAAAGUAAGUAUUCUCUGUUCACUAAAAGAGUUAUGGAUCAAGUUGUCAUGAUGCUUAUAUAUGUGGAUGAUCUGUUAAUAACUGGAAACGAUGACAAGCUUAUUUCUGAGUUGAAACAAGUGCUACAUCAAAGUUUCAAAAUGAAGGAUUUAGGGGAUCUCAAGUAUUUUCUGGGUAUUAAAGUUUUUUGAUCCAAGGUAGGGAUUGUUCUGAGUCAACUAAAGUAUGCCCGAGUUAAUUUCAAACAUGAGGCUCACCGGUGGAAAAGUGGCUGCUACUCCUUUAAAGAAAAAUUUGAAAUUGACCUCUGUAGAAUACAAUGAAGCUGUUCAAGCCAACCAAGAUGAUGAAGUUUUAUCAGACACAAUUGUACCAACGACUGAUUGAGAGAUUUUUAUAUUUGAUUCAUAUGAGGCCUGAUAUAGCUUUUGCAGUGCAACAUCUAAGUGAGUUAAUGCAACGACCGAAAAAUUCACAUUACAAGGCGACACUCAGAAUUGUACGUUAUGUGAAAAAAGAUUUAGGAUGGGGCUUCUUUUUUUUUCCAGCAAAAAGGUCUUUUAGAUUGAUAGCAUAUUGUGACUCCGAUUGGGCAUAUUGGGCAUAUUGUCCUAUGUCGAGAAAGUCAGUAUCGAGAUGUUGUGUCAAAAUAGGAGACUCAUUAAUCUCAUGGAAAUUGAGAAAACAAAAUACGAUCUCCAGGCAGAAUUUAGAACUAUGGCAUCAACAACUGCGAAUAUUGUUUAGUUAAGUGGGUUGUUGGAUGAAAUUGUCUUUAGGGUCAAUUCUUCAUUUCUUUUGAUUUGAGGAGGAGGGCUUUUGAAAAGUGAUGUGGAAAAGUGUUUUUUAGAAGUACUUU